This 484-nucleotide ribosomal RNA is filed under the name uncultured bacterium. Its description in RNAcentral is "partial 16S ribosomal RNA". It matches the Rfam family "Bacterial small subunit ribosomal RNA", at positions 28 to 507 of the family's 1533-position model. The record is from RNAcentral.
GUUGAACGCUGGCGGCGUGCCUAACACAUGCAAGUCGAGCGGAUAAACGAGGAUUUCUCCUGUAUUCAGCUGCCGACGGGUGGGUGAUUACUAGGAAGAUACCUUGUAUUUAAGACUGACAUCCCUAAGCGGGAGCUAAUACCACAUACGUCCUUAUGGUGAAAGGGGUGGAUCUUCAGACCUAACGCUAUCUGAUUACCCUUGGUCGCAUUAGCUAGUUGGUUUGGUAACGGCUUACCAAGGCAACGAUGCGUAACUGACCUGAGAGGAUGAUCUGCCACACUGGAACUGAGACACGGUCCAGACUCCUACGGGAGGCAGCAGUAGGGAAUCUUCCACAAUGGGCGAAAGCCUGACGGAGCAACGCCGCGUGAGUGAUGAAGGUCUUCGGAUCGUAAAACUCUGUUAGUAGGGAAGAACAAAUGUGUAAGUAACUAUGCACGUCUUGACGGUACCUAAACAGAAAGCCACGGCUAACUACGUG